RNAcentral lists this unclassified non-coding RNA (154 nucleotides) under uncultured Cladosporium. The record is from RNAcentral. Lineage: Eukaryota; Fungi; Ascomycota; Dothideomycetes; Cladosporiales; Cladosporiaceae.
CAAGUGAUCCCGGUUUACCACCGGGAUGUUCAUAACCCUUUGUUGUCCGACUCUGUUGCCUCCGGGGCGACCCCGCCUUCGGGCGGGGGCUCCGGGUGGACACUUCAAACUCUUGCGUAACUUUGCAGUCUGAGUAAAUUUAAUUAAUAAAUUA